UACGUAGGGUACAAGCGUUACUCGGAAUUACUGGGCGUAAAGCGUGCGUAGGUGGUUUGUUAAGUCUGAUGUGAAAGCCCUGGGCUCAACCUGGGAAUUGCAUUGGAUACUGGCAGGCUAGAGUGCGGUAGAGGGUAGUGGAAUUCCUAGUGUAGCGGUGAAAUGCGUAGAUAUUAGGAAGAACACCAGCGGCGAAAGCGCGUGACUGGGCCAGUACUGACACUCAUGGACGAAAGCUAGGGGAGCGAAAGGG
RNAcentral lists this ribosomal RNA (253 nucleotides) under uncultured bacterium. RNAcentral describes it as "partial 16S ribosomal RNA". It matches the Rfam family "Bacterial small subunit ribosomal RNA", at positions 524 to 776 of the family's 1533-position model. The record is from RNAcentral.